Molecule: ribosomal RNA, 375 nt
Filed under: uncultured organism
Description: partial 16S ribosomal RNA
Rfam family: Bacterial small subunit ribosomal RNA
Source: RNAcentral
GUAGGUGGCAAGCGUUGUCCGGAAUUAUUGGGCGUAAAGCGCGCGCAGGCGGUUCUUUAAGUCUGAUGUGAAAGCCCACGGCUCAACCGUGGAGGGUCAUUGGAAACUGGAGAACUUGAGUACAGAAGAGGAAAGCGGAAUUCCACGUGUAGCGGUGAAAUGCGUAGAGAUGUGGAGGAACACCAGUGGCGAAGGCGGCUUUUCUGGUCUGUAACUGACGCUGAGGCGCGAAAGCGUGGGGAGCAAACAGGGAUUAGAUACCCUGGUAGUCCACGCCGUAAGCGAUGAGUGCUAAGUGGUUAGGGGGUUUCCGCCCCCCUUAGUGCUGCAGCUAACGCAUUAAGCACUCCGCCUGGGAGUACGGCCGCAAGGCUG